GACGAACGCUGGCGGCGUGCUUAACACAUGCAAGUCGAACGGAAAGGCCCUGCUUUUGUGGGGUGCUCGAGUGGCAAACGGGUGAGUAACACGUGAGUAACCUGCCCUUGACUUUGGGAUAACUUCAGGAAACUGGGGCUAAUACCGGAUAGGAGCUCCUGCUGCAUGGUGGGGGUUGGAAAGUUUCGGCGGUUGGGGAUGGACUCGCGGCUUAUCAGCUUGUUGGUGGGGUAGUGGCUUACCAAGGCUUUGACGGGUAGCCGGCCUGAGAGGGUGACCGGCCAAAUUGGGACUGAGAUACGGCCCAGAAUCCUACGGGAGGCAGCAGUGGGGAAUAUUGCACAAUGGGCGGAAGCCUGAUGCAGAAACGCCGCGUGCGGGAUGACGGCCUGCGGGUUGUAAACCGCUUUAGCCUGUGACGAAGCGUGAGUGACGGUAAUGGGUAAAGAAGCACCGGCUAACUACGUG
RNAcentral lists this ribosomal RNA (468 nucleotides) under uncultured bacterium. Its description in RNAcentral is "partial 16S ribosomal RNA". It matches the Rfam family "Bacterial small subunit ribosomal RNA", at positions 28 to 507 of the family's 1533-position model. The record is from RNAcentral.